UCAGUUGGAGUGUUUCAGAGAAAUCCAAUUUUUAAUCUCACAAGAUCUAAGGGAAAGCCCUUUUCCUCCCCUGAGAUGAUGUACAUGGUCACAUGUGCCAAGAGUUCCAGGAAGUAAAAGGAGAACU
Long non-coding RNA from Nanorana parkeri, 127 nucleotides. RefSeq lists it as uncharacterized. The record is from RefSeq and is a predicted model, not a curated record. The transcript has 3 exons. NCBI's taxonomy places the organism in Eukaryota, Metazoa, Chordata, Amphibia, Anura, Dicroglossidae.